UACGGAAGGUCCGGGCGUUAUCCGGAUUUAUUGGGUUUAAAGGGAGCGUAGGCCGGUCUUUAAGCGUGCCGUGAAAUUUUGUGGCUCAACCAUGAGAGUGCGGCGCGAACUGGAGACCUUGAGUGCGCGGAAGGCAGGCGGAAUUCGUGGUGUAGCGGUGAAAUGCUUAGAUAUCACGAAGAACUCCGAUUGCGAAGGCAGCCUGCUGGACUGUAACUGACGCUGAUGCUCGAAAGUGUGGGUAUCAAACAGG
Molecule: ribosomal RNA, 253 nt
Filed under: uncultured Prevotella sp.
Lineage: Bacteria; Pseudomonadati; Bacteroidota; Bacteroidia; Bacteroidales; Prevotellaceae
Description: partial 16S ribosomal RNA
Rfam family: Bacterial small subunit ribosomal RNA
Source: RNAcentral